Long non-coding RNA from Perca fluviatilis (European perch), 679 nucleotides. RefSeq lists it as uncharacterized. The record is from RefSeq and is a predicted model, not a curated record. NCBI's taxonomy places the organism in Eukaryota, Metazoa, Chordata, Actinopteri, Perciformes, Percidae. The transcript has 4 exons.
GUAACAUACCUGUGUACAAUAUCUUGAAAAGGUGAAGACAAAAGCUUUUACAAUCUGUUACAAACUUAAUGGCAUUCUCCGUUAUCACCAUCAGCUGGCUGGAUGUGGUCAGGUAUUGCGGUCAAGUAUCUGAAGGUACAGUGCAGUUCAGUGGGGACGUUGCAGGCGCAUGAUUUGGGGCAGUCACCGCUCGACGGCAGCACAGCAGCCAAGAACAACAGAGCCUUCAGCAGCCACCUCCACAGACAAAGGGCGUGACUUCAGCAGGUGGAAGGAGUAGCAUGUAGCUGCAGUUCCAGAGGCUGCCCUUUCAGGACUCUAUUUUCAGGACCACAAUUCUCGGACCCUAACUAUAAGGCGGGUCUUGCCAAGGAAGUGAGUGGGUAAUAAUAGUAAUGUGACAGGACUGCAUUUCCACCAAAAAUGGAAGAAGAGCACAUCAAGCCCUGUUGAAGUGGAGGAGACGAUUGGAAAAACAAAAGAGAAAAGAAGGAAGAUCACUAAAUUACUGUUACCUACUUCACAAUUUGGGUUUUAAUAUUGAAGAGGAAAAGUCAAAUGUUAAUCAAAUGUAAUUUCUAUUGUUUUCUUGCAUCUCUCUCAUCUCUCUCUGUCUCUCUUUCUCGCAGGGAUCGUUGAUAAAACUUUCAUUCUCCUGUUUGUCUGUAUAUCAUGUGGA